UCCCUAGUAGCUCAGAUGGUAAAGCAUCUGCCUGCAAUGCAGGAAACCUGGGUUCAAUCCCUGGGUCAGGAA
This 72-nucleotide transfer RNA is filed under the name Ovis aries (sheep). It matches the Rfam family "tRNA". From Rfam's summary of the family: Transfer RNA (tRNA) molecules are approximately 80 nucleotides in length. Their secondary structure includes four short double-helical elements and three loops (D, anti-codon, and T loops). Lineage: Eukaryota; Metazoa; Chordata; Mammalia; Artiodactyla; Bovidae. The record is from Rfam by way of RNAcentral.